Molecule: ribosomal RNA, 247 nt
Filed under: uncultured bacterium
Lineage: Bacteria
Description: partial small subunit ribosomal RNA
Rfam family: Bacterial small subunit ribosomal RNA
Source: RNAcentral
AGAAUCAACGCUGGCGGCGUGCCUAACACAUGCAAGUCGAACGAGAAAGUGGGAGCAAUCCCAUGAGUAAAGUGGCGCACGGGUGAGUAACACGUGACUAACCUACCCUUGAGUGGGGGAUAACCUAGGGAAACCUGGGCUAAUACCGCAUAAUACCUUCGGGUCAAAGGAGCAAUUCGCUUAAGGAGGGGUCGCGGCCGAUUAGUUAGUUGGCGGGGUAAUGGCCCACCAAGACUAUGAUCGGUAU